UGGAGAGUAAACUAAAUAAGUUAUCGGGCUCAUGUCCCGAGUAUAGGGCUAGCGUGCCCUCCUCC
RNAcentral lists this transfer RNA (65 nucleotides) under Lithoredo abatanica. RNAcentral describes it as "tRNA-Met". The record is from RNAcentral. Lineage: Eukaryota; Metazoa; Mollusca; Bivalvia; Myida; Teredinidae.